This 875-nucleotide ribosomal RNA is filed under the name Enterococcus faecium. RNAcentral describes it as "bacterial SSU rRNA". It matches the Rfam family "Bacterial small subunit ribosomal RNA", at positions 56 to 903 of the family's 1533-position model. Lineage: Bacteria; Bacillati; Bacillota; Bacilli; Lactobacillales; Enterococcaceae. The record is from RNAcentral.
UGCAGUCGAACGCUUCUUUUUCCACCGGAGCUUGCUCCACCGGAAAAAGAGGAGUGGCGAACGGGUGAGUAACACGUGGGUAACCUGCCCAUCAGAAGGGGAUAACACUUGGAAACAGGUGCUAAUACCGUAUAACAAUCAAAACCGCAUGGUUUUGAUUUGAAAGGCGCUUUCGGGUGUCGCUGAUGGAUGGACCCGCGGUGCAUUAGCUAGUUGGUGAGGUAACGGCUCACCAAGGCCACGAUGCAUAGCCGACCUGAGAGGGUGAUCGGCCACAUUGGGACUGAGACACGGCCCAAACUCCUACGGGAGGCAGCAGUAGGGAAUCUUCGGCAAUGGACGAAAGUCUGACCGAGCAACGCCGCGUGAGUGAAGAAGGUUUUCGGAUCGUAAAACUCUGUUGUUAGAGAAGAACAAGGAUGAGAGUAACUGUUCAUCCCUUGACGGUAUCUAACCAGAAAGCCACGGCUAACUACGUGCCAGCAGCCGCGGUAAUACGUAGGUGGCAAGCGUUGUCCGGAUUUAUUGGGCGUAAAGCGAGCGCAGGCGGUUUCUUAAGUCUGAUGUGAAAGCCCCCGGCUCAACCGGGGAGGGUCAUUGGAAACUGGGAGACUUGAGUGCAGAAGAGGAGAGUGGAAUUCCAUGUGUAGCGGUGAAAUGCGUAGAUAUAUGGAGGAACACCAGUGGCGAAGGCGGCUCUCUGGUCUGUAACUGACGCUGAGGCUCGAAAGCGUGGGGAGCAAACAGGAUUAGAUACCCUGGUAGUCCACGCCGUAAACGAUGAGUGCUAAGUGUUGGAGGGUUUCCGCCCUUCAGUGCUGCAGCUAACGCAUUAAGCACUCCGCCUGGGGAGUACGACCGCAAGGUUGAACUCA